AGUGAAAGACGGUCUUGCUGUCACUUAUAGAUGGAUCCGCGCUGCAUUAGCUAGUUGGUAAGGUAACGGCUUACCAAGGCAACGAUGCAUAGCCGACCUGAGAGGGUGAUCGGCCACACUGGAACUGAGACACGGUCCAGACUCCUACGGGAGGCAGCAGUAGGGAAUCUUCCGCAAUGGGCGAAAGCCUGACGGAGCAACGCCGCGUGAGUGAUGAAGGUCUUCGGAUCGUAAAACUCUGUUAUUAGGGAAGAACAUAUGUGUAAGUAACUGUGCACAUCUUGACGGUACCUAAUCAGAAAGCCACGGCUAACUACGUGCCAGCAGCCGCGGUAAUACGUAGGUGGCAAGCGUUAUCCGGAAUUAUUGGGCGUAAAGCGCGCGUAGGCGGUUUUUUAAGUCUGAUGUGAAAGCCCACGGCUCAACCGUGGAGGGUCAUUGGAAACUGGAAAACUUGAGUGCAGAAGAGGAAAGUGGAAUUCCAUGUGUAGCGGUGAAAUGCGCAGAGAUAUGGAGGAACACCAGUGGCGAAGGCGACUUUCUGGUCUGUAACUGACGCUGAUGUGCGAAAGCGUGGGGAUCAAACAGGAUUAGAUACCCUGGUAGUCCACGCCGUAAACGAUGAGUGCUAAGUGUUAGGGGGUUUCCGCCCCUUAGUGCUGCAGCUAACGCAUUAAGCACUCCGCCUGGGGAGUACGACCGCAAGGUUGAAACUCAAAGGAAUUGACGGGGACCCGCACAAGCGGUGGAGCAUGUGGUUUAAUUCGAAGCAACGCGAAGAACCUUACCAAAUCUUGACAUCCUUUGACAACUCUAGAGAUAGAGCCUUCCCCUUCGGGGGACAAAGUGACAGGUGGUGCAUGGUUGUCGUCAGCUCGUGUCGUGAGAUGUUGGGUUAAGUCCCGCAACGAGCGCAACCCUUAAGCUUAGUUGCCAUCAUUAAGUUGGGCACUCUAAGUUGACUGCCGGUGACAAACCGGAGGAAGGUGGGGAUGACGUCAAAUCAUCAUGCCCCUUAUGAUUUGGGCUACACACGUGCUACAAUGGACAAUACAAAGGGCAGCGAAACCGCGAGGUCAAGCAAAUCCCAUAAAGUUGUUCUCAGUUCGGAUUGUAGUCUGCAACUCGACUACAUGAAGCUGGAAUCGCUAGUAAUCGUAGAUCAGCAUGCUACGGUGAAUACGUUCCCGGGUCUUGUACACACCGCCCGUCACACCACGAGAGUUUGUAACACCCGAAGCCGGUGGAGUAACCUUUUAGGAGCUAGCCGUCGAAGGUGGGACAAAUGAUUGGGGUGAAGUCGUAACAAGGUAGCC
Molecule: ribosomal RNA, 1316 nt
Filed under: Staphylococcus aureus
Lineage: Bacteria; Bacillati; Bacillota; Bacilli; Caryophanales; Staphylococcaceae
Description: bacterial SSU rRNA
Rfam family: Bacterial small subunit ribosomal RNA
Source: RNAcentral